Molecule: ribosomal RNA, 408 nt
Filed under: uncultured bacterium
Lineage: Bacteria
Description: partial 16S ribosomal RNA
Rfam family: Bacterial small subunit ribosomal RNA
Source: RNAcentral
GACGAACGCUGACGGCGUGCUUAACACAUGCAAGUCGAACGAAGUGGCGAACGGGUGAGUAACGCGUAAUCAACCUGCCCUUCAGAGGGGGACAACAGUUGGAAACGACUGCUAAUACCGCAUACUGAAGGAGGGGAUGGCGUCUGAUCAGCUAGUUGGAGGGGUAACGGCCCACCAAGGCGAUGAUCAGUAGCCGGGCGUGAGGGGUGAACCACCACAAUGGGACUGAGACACAGCCCAGACUCCUACGGGAAGCAGCAGUGGGGAAUCUUCCGCAAAGGGCGGAAGUCUGGCGGAGCAACGGCGCGGGGGAGGUAACGGGCUUCAGGUUGUAAAGCUAUGUUAAGCGGGAAGCGGUACCGGAAGAGAAAGCCACGGCUAACUCCGUGCCAGCAGCCGCGGUAAUAC